RNAcentral lists this long non-coding RNA (619 nucleotides) under Zostera marina. RNAcentral describes it as "long non-coding RNA (ZMAR_LNC004414)". Lineage: Eukaryota; Viridiplantae; Streptophyta; Magnoliopsida; Alismatales; Zosteraceae. The record is from RNAcentral.
CGAUUUGAAAAUCUGCACAUUCAUUCAUUCCUCUAGUUAGCUUUAUAGAUAAUUGCAGAUAGCCGGCUGAAUAUUUAGGAUCGAUGGCGAAGAAGUUGAUGCAGGUAUGGUGCUUCCUAGCCGUGAUGGCGUUAAUCGUGGCUUCGGCUUCCAUGUUCACCGUUGAUGACCUUCUUUUCAAAAUCUCCAAAGAGAAAUAUUGUUCUGGUUGCUACUUAAAUUAUAAUUUCUAUAUAUAUAUAUAUAUACCAUCGAUCUUUGCAAAAAAUUAACCAAGUACGUACGUACGUAAUUAUCUAUGGAUCGAUUUUGUCGCGCGCAGAUCCAUCUCCGGUUGCUGCACCGGCUACGCCACCCUCCAUAUCGCCUCCACUGGCUCCAUCUGCUUCUUCCCCAAUUGCUCUUACACCGCCGUUUCCGAGAAAAUCUUUUGCCUCGACCAUCAAUGUGAACCAGCUAUGGUUUGGUCUGCUGGCAGCGAUUCUCAUGUAAUCUUAUAUAUUUCUUAUACAUCGUUUUUAUCUCUAAACAUUAAAUAGUAAUUAAGCUCGAUCGAUCAUCGAUCGAUCUAAGAAAUUCUAAUUUGCAGCGCAUGCAUGUAGUUUAAUUUUAAAUAUCA